CGCACAUUGCACCUUUUGGUAUUCCGAAAGGUAUGCUUGUUCGAGCGUCGGGUUAACUAUAUCAACACUCAUUGUUGGUGUAUUGAAGGAUUUAAUUUCAUUAAACCUUCCAAAAUAAUUGAAGCGAUCUUGACUGAUUACCAUUGAACGCAUUAAGUUUUAUUUACUCGUGCAAGAAAAUCAGUGAGAGAUUUGCCAAAACCCAAAAUUUUACACAUAAACGACCUCGAAUCAAGUAGGAUUACCCGCUGAACUUAA
Molecule: unclassified non-coding RNA, 258 nt
Filed under: Taitaia aurea
Lineage: Eukaryota; Fungi; Ascomycota; Lecanoromycetes; Ostropales; Graphidaceae
Description: partial contains 5.8S ribosomal RNA, internal transcribed spacer 2, and large subunit ribosomal RNA
Source: RNAcentral